AACCUAAUACGUUAGUGUUUUGACGUUACCGACAGAAUAAGCACCGGCUAACUCUGUGCCAGCAGCCGCGGUAAUACAGAGGGUGCAAGCGUUAAUCGGAAUUACUGGGCGUAAAGCGCGCGUAGGUGGUUUGUUAAGUUGGAUGUGAAAUCCCCGGGCUCAACCUGGGAACUGCAUUCAAAACUGACUGACUAGAGUAUGGUAGAGGGUGGUGGAAUUUCCUGUGUAGCGGUGAAAUGCGUAGAUAUAGGAAGGAACACCAGUGGCGAAGGCGACCACCUGGACUAAUACUGACACUGAGGUGCGAAAGCUUGGGGAGCAAACAGGAUUAGAUACCCUGGUAGUCCACGCCGUAAACGAUGUCAAUUAGCCGUUGGAAGCCUUGAGCUUUUAUUUGGCGCACCUAACGCAUUAAGUUGACCGCCUGGGGAGUACGGCCGCAAGGUUAAAACUC
Molecule: ribosomal RNA, 454 nt
Filed under: bacterium
Lineage: Bacteria
Description: bacterial SSU rRNA
Rfam family: Bacterial small subunit ribosomal RNA
Source: RNAcentral